UACGUAGGGUGCGAGCGUUAAUCGGAAUUACUGGGCGUAAAGCGUGCGUAGGCGGUUCUCCAAGUCCGUUGUGAAAGCCCCGGGCUCAACCUGGGAAUGGCAGUGGAAACUAGGGGACUGGAAUCUGGCAGAGGGGGGUGGAAUGCCGCGUGUAGCAGUGAAAUGCGUAGAGAUGUGGAGGAACACCGAUGGCGAAGGCAGCCCCCUGGGCUGAGAUUGACGCUCAGGCACGAAAGCGUGGGGAGCAAACAGG
RNAcentral lists this ribosomal RNA (253 nucleotides) under uncultured bacterium. RNAcentral describes it as "partial 16S ribosomal RNA". It matches the Rfam family "Bacterial small subunit ribosomal RNA", at positions 524 to 776 of the family's 1533-position model. The record is from RNAcentral.